AUUGAACGCUGGCGGCAGGCCUAACACAUGCAAGUCGAGCGGAUGAAGGGAGCUUGCUCCUGGAUUCAGCGGCGGACGGGUGAGUAAUGCCUAGGAAUCUGCCUGGUAGUGGGGGAUAACGUCCGGAAACGGGCGCUAAUACCGCAUACGUCCUGAGGUAGAAAGUGGGGGAUCUUCGGACCUCACGCUAUCAGAUGAGCCUAGUUCGGAUUAGCUAGUUGGUGGGGUAAAGGCCUACCAAGGCGACGAUCCGUAACUGGUCUGAGAGGAUGAUCAGUCACACUGGAACUGAGACACGGUCCAGACUCCUACGGGAGGCAGCAGUGGGGAAUAUUGGACAAUGGGCGAAAGCCUGAUCCAGCCAUGCCGCGUGUGUGAAGAAGGUCUUCGGAUUGUAAAGCACUUUAAGUUGGGAGGAAGGGCAGUAAGUUAAUACAUUGCUGUUUUGACGUUACCAACAGAAUAAGCACCGGCUAACUUCGUG
RNAcentral lists this ribosomal RNA (484 nucleotides) under uncultured bacterium. RNAcentral's name for it is "partial 16S ribosomal RNA". It matches the Rfam family "Bacterial small subunit ribosomal RNA", at positions 30 to 507 of the family's 1533-position model. The record is from RNAcentral.